AGACCUCCAAAAUAUGGCUCUGGCGUCAGCUGUGAUACUGGGAGGAGAGGCAGGCCCCAGGGUGGGGCAGUCCAGGUAGCCUGAAAGAGAAGCAAGUUCCUGGCACACAGCUGAAGAAACACUCCUGGGGAUUCACCUGGUAGCAAAACCUCCCCCUUGGCUUCCUCCUGUUGUUCACACAGCAGACCCAAAGUUCCAGGGGAUCCAAGGCAUUGAGAGAGAGAGAGAGAGAGAGAGAGAGAGAAGCUAAGGACCCCUUGAUGCUCAGCAAUACAUGGCUCUGCUCUCAAGUCACUAGAACCCUGGAAACUACAGGCUGUCUUCCACCAGACAGCACACAGCCCCAGUGAACAGAGGACCUUUUUCUUUACCGCAAAUGCUGGACAUGCACCUCACCAUAGCCUUUGGUAGAGAUCCUUUCUUUGAACCAUUUUGCCUGGUUUUAGGGUCUUCACUGCAGGGUGGAAUUUUGGGGUCCCUAAGGCCCCUGCGCCACACUACAAGAACUGAUCUGGGGUUUAAGUCCUAGUACACUUUUCUCCCACAUACUAAACAUAACUCUCCUGCCCCAGGAUUGUGGGCAGGGCAUUGCUGUCCACCCUGGAGGGUUGUAAGGGCAGUAGACAGAGCAAGGGUCUCACCAGUCAACCGUCUUGUGGAGUGUUUGGAA
Molecule: long non-coding RNA, 670 nt
Filed under: Mus musculus (house mouse)
Lineage: Eukaryota; Metazoa; Chordata; Mammalia; Rodentia; Muridae
Description: predicted gene, 21057
Source: RNAcentral